RNAcentral lists this ribosomal RNA (301 nucleotides) under uncultured bacterium. Its description in RNAcentral is "partial 16S ribosomal RNA". It matches the Rfam family "Bacterial small subunit ribosomal RNA", at positions 509 to 807 of the family's 1533-position model. The record is from RNAcentral.
CAGCAGCCGCGGGAAUACGGAGGGUGCAAGCGUUAAUUGGAAUUACUGGGCGUAAAGCGCACGCAGGCGGUCUGACAAGUCAGAUGUGAAAUCCCCGGGCUUAACCUGGGAACUGCAUUUGAAACUGUCAGGCUGGAGUCUUGUAGAGGGGGGUGGAAUUCCAGGUGUAGCGGUGAAAUGCGUAGAGAUCUGGAGGAAUACCGGUGGCGAAGGCGGCCCCCUGGACAAAGACUGACGCUCAGGUGCGAAAGCGUGGGGAGCAAACAGGAUUAGAUACCCCUGUAGUCCCUGUCUCUUAUAC